CUAAGUUCAGCGGGUAAUCCUACCUGAUUUGAGGUCAAACUUUCAAUAAGUUGUCCACAAGGGACUGUUAUAAGCUGAACAGACAGAGAGCAGUCCAUAGUCUUAGGCGUAGAUAAUUAUCACACCAGUGACGGAUCGCAAACCGUUCCGCUAAUACAUUUCAGAGGAGCUGAUCUUUGUUAAAAGACCUGCAUAUCCCC
Molecule: unclassified non-coding RNA, 200 nt
Filed under: Melanophyllum sp.
Lineage: Eukaryota; Fungi; Basidiomycota; Agaricomycetes; Agaricales; Agaricaceae
Description: partial internal transcribed spacer 2
Source: RNAcentral